Rattus norvegicus (Norway rat) is the source of this 1628-nucleotide non-coding RNA. NCBI's taxonomy places the organism in Eukaryota, Metazoa, Chordata, Mammalia, Rodentia, Muridae. The record is from RefSeq and is a predicted model, not a curated record.
GUGAGGAAACAUUCUUCCUUUGACUUUUGAAGACAUGGUUUCAUGUAUCCCAGGCUGGCCUCAAACUUACUAAGAAGUCCUGGCAACCUUGAAUUUUCCUCAUCUUCCUGCCUCUGCCUCUAUAGUGCUGGGAUGAGAGGCUCACACCACUCUGCCCCAUUUACAUAGUGCUGGGCAUCCCAGCCAGAGCUUCCACCAUGCUGGGCAAGUGCUCCGUCACAUCAUAAUCAUCUUUAAUUUGAUGAAGGAAUUCUCAGCACCAAUGUUGUUUUGGAUAUUCAGGCCCUAGUGACCUCAACUAGGAAGAUUUAAGACCUGGCUGACUUCAGAUGAUGUCACCAACAUUUUGAAAUGGUUUUUCCCCUGCUGCAGCGAUCAGGAAUGAAAAAGUAACUUCAGAGCACGCCAUAGCCAGCCCAGAGAGAAUCUGUUUUCCUGGGGAAACCAAACCAAAGCAUUGGAUAAAUCUCAAGACACCUGAAGUAUCUGGAUUCAGGAUCAUGACAUCAACUACAGAUCUAGAGACUGUGAGGGAAAGACAACUCCUAAAGAUGUCUCUCGCAGAACAGGGCUGUGGAAAUGAAGGCAGAAGUCAUCACGUGAGAACGUGGGUCAAACAAACUGUGAGUCCCUUCACCUAAGCAUGGAAUACCUGGCUGAUUUAAGAAGAGAAGAAACUUCAUCAUUCUUGAGCAUCUAACAGAGAGAGCUUAACUUUAAAAUCUGCAUAUCCUGCUGUGAUUAUUUGUAUGUGUUCGGGUCAGGGAGUGGCACUAUUAGAAGGUGUGGCCCUGUUGGAGUGGGUGUGGCCCUGUUGGAGUGGGUGUGGCCUUUUUGGAGUAGGUGUGACCCUGUUGGAGUAGGUGUGGCCUUGUUGGAGUAGGUGUGGCCCUGUUGGAGUAGGUGUGGCCUUGUUGGAGUAGGUGUGGCCCUGUUGGAGUAGGUGUGGCCUUGUUGGAGUAGGUAUGUCACUGUAGGUGUGGGCUUUAAGACCCUCAUCCUGUAAGUCAGUCUUCCACUAGCAGCCUUCAGAUAGAUGUAGAACUCUCAGCUCCUCCUGCACCAUGCCUGCCUGGAUGCUGCCAUGCUCUGGCCUUGAUGAUAAUGAACUGAACCUCUGAACCCAUAAACCAGCCCAAAUUAAAUCUUGUCCUUAUAAGAGUUGCCUUGGUCAUGGUGUCUGUUCAUAGCAGUAAAACCCUAACAAGACCCCUGCUGAGCUUAGACAUAGGGUGGGAAAAAAACUACCGAGUUAUUUUUGGCUCAUGAAAGUCAAUCUGGAGGUAGCAUAGUGACCAUUGACAAGAGAAGACAUCAUUUAUCCUCCUGGUGAGUCUUUAUUUUUUUUAUGAGUGGUCAAUAUGGAUUGUCCGGUGGGAAAGACAUUUGGAUAACUGCCAAUUCAGAGCCUAAAGGACAAUCUGGGUAUCACCAGAACUUGUGAGACUCCACGGAAAAUUUUAUUUUCUCAGCCAAAGGACAGAGGUGAAACUUUGAAAACACACAUUUAAGUGGAAGAGAGUUUGUAGCUUGCAGAUGGACAGGAUGCAAGAACAGCUGUCCAUCUCUCUGAGCCUCAUCUUCAGUUCUUUCUUUGUGUGGCUCCCUCUUCAUUGGAGUAUAGAUGG